AUGCAACCUGUUGUUUUUUUUCCCUUUCAGGAUUUUUGGGUUUCAAGUAAGAGUAUAUAUUCAACUGACCCAGAGGAAUGGGAUACAGAACGCUCUGGGAGAGCUCAUCAGAGGCAACAAGCACUAAGGUUAACCAUCUGCUUUUGAAAGGAUAUAUCUGGAAGAGAGGACACAAAUAUGGACAGAAGAAGAAUCCUAUUUUGUCAUUCUGGUAGAUGAUCUUUUGAAAAACUCUAAUGUCCCCAAAGAUUAAAUAUAAUAAACUCUGAAUUACUGUCUCUAAUGGAGGUAGCCUGGAGUAUAGAUCAUCUUCAAAGGUUGAACAUUGCUACCCCAAUCA
This 340-nucleotide long non-coding RNA is filed under the name Sarcophilus harrisii (Tasmanian devil). RNAcentral describes it as "lncRNA (ENSSHAG00000020627.1)". Lineage: Eukaryota; Metazoa; Chordata; Mammalia; Dasyuromorphia; Dasyuridae. The record is from RNAcentral.